RNAcentral lists this ribosomal RNA (1057 nucleotides) under Muriformistrickeria rosae. RNAcentral's name for it is "SSU rRNA". It matches the Rfam family "Eukaryotic small subunit ribosomal RNA", at positions 46 to 1112 of the family's 1831-position model. The record is from RNAcentral. Lineage: Eukaryota; Fungi; Ascomycota; Dothideomycetes; Pleosporales; Melanommataceae.
UAGCCAUGCAUGUCUAAGUAUAAGCAAUUAUACCGUGAAACUGCGAAUGGCUCAUUAAAUCAGUUAUCGUUUAUUUGAUAGUACCUUACCACUUGGAUAACCGUGGUAAUUCUAGAGCUAAUACAUGCUAAAAACCCCGACUUCGGAAGGGGUGUGUUUAUUAGAUAAAAAACCAAUGCCCUUCGGGGCUCCUUGGUGAUUCAUGAUAACCUAACGGAUCGCAUGGCCUUGCGCCGGCGACGGUUCAUUCAAAUUUCUGCCCUAUCAACUUUCGAUGGUAAGGUAUUGGCUUACCAUGGUUUCAACGGGUAACGGGGAAUUAGGGUUCGAUUCCGGAGAGGGAGCCUGAGAAACGGCUACCACAUCCAAGGAAGGCAGCAGGCGCGCAAAUUACCCAAUCCCGACACGGGGAGGUAGUGACAAUAAAUACUGAUACAGGGCUCUUUUGGGUCUUGUAAUUGGAAUGAGUACAAUUUAAACCCCUUAACGAGGAACAAUUGGAGGGCAAGUCUGGUGCCAGCAGCCGCGGUAAUUCCAGCUCCAAUAGCGUAUAUUAAAGUUGUUGCAGUUAAAAAGCUCGUAGUUGAAACUUGGGUCUGGCUAGCGGGUCCGCCUCACCGCGUGCACUUGUCCGGCUGGACCUUUCCUUCUGGAGAACCUCAUGCCCUUCACUGGGUGUGUUGGGGAACCAGGACUUUUACUUUGAAAAAAUUAGAGUGUUCAAAGCAGGCCUUUGCUCGAAUACGUUAGCAUGGAAUAAUAGAAUAGGACGUGCGGUCCUAUUUUGUUGGUUUCUAGGAUCGCCGUAAUGAUUAAUAGGGAUAGUCGGGGGCAUCAGUAUUCAAUUGUCAGAGGUGAAAUUCUUGGAUUUAUUGAAGACUAACUACUGCGAAAGCAUUUGCCAAGGAUGUUUUCAUUAAUCAGUGAACGAAAGUUAGGGGAUCGAAGACGAUCAGAUACCGUCGUAGUCUUAACCGUAAACUAUGCCGACUAGGGAUCGGGCGAUGUUUCUAUCUUGACUCGCUCGGCACCUUACGAGAAAUCAAAGUUUUUGGGU